RNAcentral lists this transfer RNA (73 nucleotides) under Chloroflexota bacterium. Its description in RNAcentral is "Chloroflexi bacterium tRNA-Arg". It matches the Rfam family "tRNA". From Rfam's summary of the family: Transfer RNA (tRNA) molecules are approximately 80 nucleotides in length. Their secondary structure includes four short double-helical elements and three loops (D, anti-codon, and T loops). The record is from RNAcentral. Lineage: Bacteria; Bacillati; Chloroflexota.
GCCUCUGUAGCUCAGCGGACAGAGCGCCGGUCUUCUAAACCGAUGGUCGCAGGUUCGAGUCCUGCCAGGGGCG